UUUGGGAAAUGAUGCUAAAUUCAAUAACAUUUCUUAAGCGCUUGCUAUGUUGAGUGGUCCUUAUAUUUUGCACGUCAGUCUGAUCCCAAG
Small nucleolar RNA from Prosopis cineraria, 90 nucleotides. RefSeq annotates it as small nucleolar RNA Z122. Lineage: Eukaryota; Viridiplantae; Streptophyta; Magnoliopsida; Fabales; Fabaceae. The record is from RefSeq and is a predicted model, not a curated record. The transcript has a single exon.